Molecule: ribosomal RNA, 524 nt
Filed under: Lygus lineolaris (tarnished plant bug)
Lineage: Eukaryota; Metazoa; Arthropoda; Insecta; Hemiptera; Miridae
Description: eukaryotic LSU rRNA
Rfam family: Eukaryotic large subunit ribosomal RNA
Source: RNAcentral
ACGUCGUGACCCGUCCGGCCAUGGUCUAAGGGUUAGGGUGGGAGCCUGUGUGAGCUGUUCGCAGUCUCGCGCAGCCCCCCUUUCCCCGACCAUGGAUUGCCCCGGUCGGUAUCGAAUGACGGUGUCGAACCGCUCCGCGAGGGGAGAAAUCCUCUUUCGAGAGCGCGAGGUGGUCCUCGACAAGGUUGCGAGUCGCGUGUCAAGGCGGGCUUCCGCCCGUCUGGCUGCUCCCGCUCCUGUUGGUCGGGUGUGCCCUUACGCAGGUUCAUACAAAUGGCACUAGUCUACGGCGAAUCAGUUUUGGGCUCUUGUCCGACCCGUCUUGAAACACGGACCAAGGAGUUUAGCGUGUGCGCGAGUCAUUGGGUGUCAAAACCUAAAGGCGUAAUGAAAGUGAAGGAAACUUUGUUUUUGAGGGAGGAUGGGUUAGGUACCUUUUUUAAAGGACCGGCCUCGCACUCCCGGGGCGUCUCUAUCUCAUUGCGAGAGGAGGCGCACCUAGAGCGUACACGCUGAUACCCGAA